GAUAAGGUUGCUAGAAUAAAAGAGAAAGAAAAAGAAAAGAUAAGGAUUAGAUGAGAAAGGGAGAGAAAGAAGAAAUGGGAGGAAGAGAGGGAGAGAAAAGGGAAGUGGCCGAAGCCCUUGUGUGGGAAGAGGAGGAGAUGGAAGGAUCUCCAUGAAGAAGAAGGAAGAAGGAGAAGAAAAGAAAGGUAUAACAUCUCUCUCUAAUCUCUUUCUAUGGAAUUUUUAUGAAAGGGGGUUUUGAUUUGGAUGUUCAAACCCUUAAGAUCUAUGUGUUUUCUAUGGAUUUAUGUAUGGAUUUACUCAUUUUUGAUGUUGAUUUGGGUGAAUCAAAAGAAUAAAGAAAAUUUAUUUUCUAGUUUUGAAUCCGAAAUUUCCUAGUACUUUGAAAUUUCACCGUUUUAAAUCUAUGACUUCUUUUUGCGAUCCGUCAAAAAGGGAUGUUAGAUAUAUGUGUUUAGUAGUUAACCCAAGUGGUAGUACUCAAAAAUGUUGAGUUUACAUGGGGUAGUGACUGAUUUGGUGAAAACAGUUCCGUUUUUAUAACCAAAAAUGGGCAGAUUCGGGGCAGUCAGUAGCGAGGGCAAUUUCGUCCAGUUUUUGUGCUUUAAAAAUUCUGGGCUUUUGGUAUGUUGUAGUACUCUGAUUUAGCUUUCCAUAGACUCCGGAACGGACUAAUUCCGAUUCCGGAUGAGGUAGUUAUGGCGUUCGGGAGAUGUGUAUCAAAACUGUUAAUCAAAUUCCGAACAGCCACCUUUGUGUAAAUUUCUGGACUGAUGUGUUAUGAUUUUGGAAAAAUGUCGUGAGACAAAAGUUGUAGCCCUGGAAGUUAUCUUCGCGUGGGCUCAAGAAUCGCUCAAAAAUGUUUUAAAACGCGAGAGUUAUGGCUGUUUUAGUGAGGCUGGGUAAAAAUUUUAAAAAAAAUCAAAAGUGUCCAAAAAUAGGAAAAAUGCGAUGUAUGAAGUGAGACCCGUGAGCAUGGCGUAUGCAAGUUUGUAAUGAAGUUUUGGGUCGGGUUUAAGGUGUUGUGAUGUUUAUGACAUUUUAAAAUGUUUAAACAAGUUUAUUAAUUACGGGAAGGAAAACAAUUGAAAUAAUUGUUUAUUUAAGUGAUUAAUGACAUAAAUUAUUUUUAUGUGACUAAUAAUAUGGUAUUGAGAUAUUAUUAGUAGUAUGUGACUGGAAUGUUAUUAAAAGGUUAGUAACCUUAGCGUAAAAUAUUAUUACAUAAUUAAUAAUAUUUGACGGGAGAUUUAAUAAGAGAUUUAUGAUAUUUUUCAAUGUAAUUGUUGAAAUUGAUAUUCAAUGAAGUAUAUUAUGUGUUUGGGCAUAUGAUAGAGAAAUAAUAAGUCAUAAUAAUCUAAUAAAGUCUUAUGGUGCGAAAUUUGACUAUAAGUAAUAUUUUAUGCCGAGAAACUUUCUUUCAGGCAUAAAUAAAGCAAUAAAAAUAUGUAAUAAAUAUAAAUUACAUAUUUAAGCGAAAAAUAUAUAUAUAUAUAUAUAUAGUUGCCUAUAAAAAUUAUUUUGUGGUGGAACAAAGAAUGUAAAACCUUUGAAAUAUUGUAUUAAUCAUAAAAAUGAUAUUUUGAGGUUUUCGGUGCUCAAAAUGAAGUUUUUGAGCUGAGAUUUACGUAACGAAGCAAAAAUGCGAAUAAUCGUAAAAUGAAAAAUAAAGCGAAUGUGCUAGUGAGAUAAAAUGUUUAUAUAUGAGGCAAUAGUCAGUGUUGACUCAUGAACGGACAAACUGAAGUAAAAGUUAUUUAAAGUGAAGAAAUAAUAUAGUAAAUUGAUUUUUACUAUAAAAGCUAUACAUUAGCUGUUUAAACUCCGAAUUUGCGAGUAGAGGUAAAAGAUAUUUCUGAAAUGAAAUUUAAAUGGUUUAAGUUUCAAGAUGUAAAGUAUUUGCAUCUUAAAAUGUGUGAGACCUUUAUUAUUUAUGAAACAAGUAAAAUAUUAUUACAUGAUUAAUAAUAUUAGAAGGUGAUUACAAUAUUAUUAAAUGAUUAAUAAUAUUAGUAAAGGAUUUAAAUAUUAUUAAAUGAUUAAUAAUAUUUGUAAAUGAUAAAUAUUCUAUAAAAAGAAUAUUAGGCAAAAGUUUAAGAUAAUGGAUAAGUGAUAGUAAUAUUAUUAAGGGAUAAUAAUAUUACUAAUGAGUUAAAGAAUUAUUUAAUGUUUAAUUAUGUGGCUAAAUGUUAGCUAAUUUAUUAUUUGAGUAAUAGUGUUGUGGGAUAAAAUGUAUUAUGCUAAUUGGAGGAUCGAUCUUAUUAAUGAUAGGUCUUUUAUAAGAGAUUAAAUUGAUUGCUUAGCGGUAAUCAACGGUACAGGCAAGUUCCUAAACUUGAACUUCUAAUUAUUGUGCAAGUUUCCUAACUCAACUUGAGUUAAUUCAAAGCAUGUUAGUGGUUAAUUAUUGUUGAUUAUACCACGUCAAUAAUUUAUUGAUUCGCACAUUGUGCAUGUUGUUUAUGUUCAUCAGGUAUGAAAGGCUGAUCACCUUCAUUACCAUAGGUUUCAGUUAAACUUGUUCAUGUUAAUUGUUGACAUCCAAUAUCAUUGGUUCAGUCAUUCAAUCAUUGAAACUUGAUUCAUGUUAUUUCACAAUUAUUAUAUUGUUGAAAACUUGAAAGCUUAUUCAUUCUUUUCAAUCAUGAUAUAUCUCCAUUGUAUGUAAAACUUGCUGGGCAAAUUUGUUGCUCACCCUUGCUAUAUCAUGAUAAAAUUUUCAGAUUAAGAUGAAGGCUUGAAUAAGGACAGAGGCAAAGACAAAGUGCAAAGUUUUUUUUUAUGUUGCAGUUAGAUUUAUUAAAUUUUCUGACGAAAAUAGUAUUGUAAACCUUUUUAAUAUUGAAGGUAUGUAUUAAGUUAAGGUUGUAGACCUUGGGACUGAUGUGUAAAGUUUAAUGUAUAAACAAUGUAUGUUUAUAUCUUCCGCAAUAGUUAUAGAAAUAGCGUACCGGAUCCGCGGCGAUUUGGGACCCGGAUUCGGGGACGCCACACUUCCCAGUUAGGAGCUAAUUUUCCCUUAGAUUGAUCUUGGUUAUCAAUGAUCUUCUUCAAAACCAAGUCAUGUUGUUUGAAUUGCCGUAGUCGGACUUUUCUGUUGUAGGAUCGUGCGAUCCUCUGCUGAUAUAACUGACCAUGGAAGAUAGUCGCGGUUCGCAUUUCAUCUAUUAGAGACAAUUGGUGAUACCUGUCUUGUACCCAUUGGUCUACAUCCAACUGAGCAUCCAUCAAUACUCUAAGGGAUUCCAUUUCCACUUCUAUGGGGAGCACUGCUUCCAUCCCAUAUACUAAUGAGUAGGGAGUUGCCCUAGUAGAAGCACGCAUUGAAGUUCUGUAGGCUAAUAAAGUUAGGGGCAAGAGGUUAGGCCAUCCUUUGUGAUUGGCGGACAUUUUUUGCAUGAUCUUCUUGAUGUUUUUAUUAGCUGCUUCAACAGCACCAUUCAUCUUCGGACGGUAGAUGAUAGAGUUGAGAUGUUUGAUGUGGAAUUUUCUGCAUAAUUCCUCCAUCAUGUUUUUGUUGAGGUUUUUAGCAUUGUCUAACACAAUGACCUCUGGUUGUCCAUAUCAACAAACAACAUUGUUUCUGAUGAAAACAAUGAUGACUUCUUUAGUAACCCUGGGGAAGGAAGCUGCUUCAACCCAUUUGGUGAAGUAGUCGAUCAUGGUGAAUAUGAAUCGAUGUCCAUUACUGGCUUUGGGCUCGAUGGGCCCGAUCACGUCCAUUCCCCACAUUGAAAAGGGCCAUGGUGAACUCAUAUUAUGGAGUUCCCUUGGAGGGGCGUGGAUAGCAUUCCCAUGAAUCUGGCAUUGAUAGCACCUCUUGAUGUGAUCAUCAUAAUCAGCUUUGAGUGUAAGCCAGUAAUGUCCCGUUCUGAGAAUUUUCUUGACAAGUAGGGGUCCGCUCAUGUGAGGGCCGCAUACUCCACCAUGGAUCUCAUCCAUGAGUCGCUGAGCUUGGUCUUUGUCCAGACAUCUGAGGAGACCUAAUCCUGCAUCUCUUUUGUAGAGUGCAUCUCCGCUCAGGUAGAAUUUCAUAGCAAGUCGAUAAAUCCGCCUCUUCUCAGUUAGGCUCGCCUCAGCGGGUGUAGAUCCAUCUCGNNNNNNNNNNNNNNNNNNNNNNNNNNNNNNNNNNNNNNNNNNNNNNNNNNNNNNNNNNNNNNNNNNNNNNNNNNNNNNNNNNNNNNNNNNNNNNNNNNNNNNNNNNNNNNNNNNNNNNNNNNNNNNNNNNNNNNNNNNNNNNNNNNNNNNNNNNNNNNNNNNNNNNNNNNNNNNNNNNNNNNNNNNNNNNNNNNNNNNNNNNNNNNNNNNNNNNNNNNNNNNNNNNNNNNNNNNNNNNNNNNNNNNNNNNNNNNNNNNNNNNNNNNNNNNNNNNNNNNNNNNNNNNNNNNNNNNNNNNNNNNNNNNNNNNNNNNNNNNNNNNNNNNNNNNNNNNNNNNNNNNNNUGACACUCAUCAUUCCAUUUCAUGGAGGAGUUCUUCCUUAACAAUUUGAAGAUUGGCUCACAGGUUGCCGUGAGUUGAGAAAUGAAUCGACUAAUGAAGUUGAUCCUUCCCAAAAAUCCCCGUAUUUCCUUCUCUGUCGGAGGAAUGGGCAUUUCCUUGAUGGCCUGGAUUUUGGUAGGAUCCAGUUCAAUCCCUUUGUGGCUGACUAGAAAGCCUAGCAACUUGCCUGACUUAACACCAAAGGCGCACUUGGCGGGAUUCAACUUUAAGUUGUACUUACGCAACCUGUUGAAUAGCUUCUUGAGAUGGUCUAAAUGGUCAUCCUCCUUCUGGGAUUUGACAAUGAUGUCAUUCACAUAGAUCUUUAUCUAUUUGUGCAUUAAAUCAUGGAAAAGAGCCAUCAAAGCUCGCUGGUAGGUUGCCCCAGCGUUGAUGAAAGCAGUUUUCUCACGAUCUUCCUCAGUGACCAUAAUUUGAUGGUACCCCGCAAAGCAAUCAGCAAAGGAGUACAUGCCAUACUGAGCAGUAUUCUCAAUGAGAAUGUGGAUAAAUAGCACGGGAAACCUAUCUUUAAGGCAAGCUUUGUUCAAAUCUCGAUAAUCCACGCAAACUCGCACCUUCCCCCCUGGUUUAGGCACGGGAACAAUGUUGGAUAUCCCCUCCGGAUAUGUAGACACCAUGAUGAUACCAGCUUGAAAUUGUUUCACAAUUUCUUUUUUAACUUUUAAACUCCACUCAGGUUUCAAUUUCCUGAGCUUUUGCCUAACUGGCUUGAAUCCUUCUUUAAUGGGAAGGCGAUGAAGAACAAUGUCAGUGGACAAUCCCACCAUAUCUUCAUGAGACCAUGCAAACACAUCCUGGAAUUGGGCUAACAGUGCAACCAUGUCAUUCCGUUGAUUUGUGGUAAGGUCUGAACCAAUUUGGAUUAGCUUAGGGUUGUCUAAGGUUCCAAGAUUGAAAGGAGUGGUUUGUUCAAGAUUGGGUUUGGGUUAGUCGGCGACCCAUUCCUUAAUCUCUUGAGGUGUCUUAAUGUCCUCUUGGAUGUCCAUCAAGUCUGAGUCCAACUUUGCAUCAAAGUUACAGCCCUUGUGGAGAGAAGGCACCUCCUCAGCAAGUACAAGCACAUCUAAAUUCAGAGUCCUGAAACAAAAAUAUGCUUUCACUUAAUAUAUGCAACUGUUCGAUCAUACAAAAGUGUUAGCAUGUACGUGAUAAAAUAACUGCUAGUGCUGUAAAAGAAAGCAAGCAAUUAAAGUUAUCUACAGGGCAGAGGGAUUUUCUGCCCAUUUUACCCUCGUCGACCAAUCUAUGGAGUGCUACUCCAAUUGUUGAGGGAAAAUUCCUAAUGGACUGUAGUGAUAGAAGGAUCGUCAGUGUCCUCCUUUUCCUGAAUGAUAACCAUGACAUCUGGGCAAUCAUCGUCUGGGGUGUAUCUGUUGGUGUGUUCAUCAUGAACAAUGGCGCGAAUGCCUGCCAUCAUCAAGGCAAGGUCAUGUUUAUGUUUCCGUUCCUUUUCUUCCGCUUCGGGAUCAGGAAUCAGCACCUCUUUAGCUUUGAUUGGCAUUGGUUUCGGAAACAGCAUAGCCACAGCAUGGGCUGGCACCUUUACUGGAGACUGCAUCAACUCAUGCGAUAAAGGUAUAGAAAAUCACCGUGCGGCGGAAGUUUGAGGAACCUGCUUAUACUUGUGAGGAUUCUUGUGAGUGGAACUAGCAGAAUAGCCUAGCCUAGCUGUCCCAAUUUGAUUGGACAUUUGGAUAGGGUGCUUAAUACCCUGUUGAUCCUUACCAAGCCCUUCUCCAGGUUGAUGACCCAAUAACAUCAUUUCUUGAGUGCCUGACAUAACCUCAUCAAAAAUCUUAGGUACGGGAAGUGGCACUCCAAUAGAAUGGUAUUGCGUGUUACUCAAUUCCAGAGUAUGGAAACUGGCCGGCUCAACUUCUAAAUUGAAGCUGAUAAUUGGUAGAGUUCCUGAUUCCGGCUCAGCAUUGACAGUGACUAGACUAUUGUUGAUGAUGUCUUUGAGUUAUUGAUGUAAGGUGGAGGGAACAGCUCCAGCCAUGUGUACCCAUGGUCUCCCCAAUAGCAGGUUGUAUCCUGAAUCUAUCUUGAGGGCGUGGAAGGAUACGUUGAAUGUAUUAGGACCAAUCUCAAUUGGUAAUUCAAUCUUUCCAACGGAAUUUUGCCGAGAUCCAUCAAAAGCUCGGAUGAUCGUAUGGCUACUUUGGAUUCAACUGAGAUUGAUAUUCAUCUUCACCAAGGUGGCAUAAGGAAAGAUAUUCAGAGAUGAACCUCCAUCUAUCAAUACUCUAGCUAGCAUAUACCCAGAAGACAACAUUGCGAUGUGCAGUGGUUUGCAAUGACUGAUCCCUUCGGGAGGUAUGUCAUCAUCAGUGAAGGAUAUCACAUUGCUGUUGAAAAUGUGAUCAACUAAAUGUUGAAAUUUUUCUACAUUCACUGAUUUUGGCAGGUAGGUUUCUUCCAAAACCUUUAGCAAGAUCUUUCGAUGCUCCUCGAAAGAGAAAACCAAGUCCAGAAUUGAAAUCUGGUGUGGAGCUUCUCGCAAGCUUAAAACCACUUUGGCUUCGUUAUGGCCCAUAGUACGGAGGAAUUUUUCAAUCUUCUCUAUGGGCAAUUUCCCCUUUGCUUCGCAAGUAGUCUUGAUAACCCGUUGAGGAAGGUACAAUGGUUUUUCUUUCGACACUGUAGCAGUAGUAUGAGACGUGAAUCCUUCAGCUUCUCCAUAAUUCCAUGGAACUUUGUGUAAGCUGACAACAGGAUGUUGUAGUCUGCAAGGUAAAGGAAUUGGCUCUGGUGCGGCCACUUUCAAAGGAUUUUCAGCUCCUUUGAGAUGAAUUGGUUGUAUGGGAAAUACUUUGACAGUCUCAUCAUCCACUUCGGAUAUAACUGCUACUGAUCCCUUCCAUUAGGUAAGGCAUGCAUUCCCACCCUUAAGUUGCAUAAUGUAAUCAUCCGCUAUUUGCAGGACACCGCUAUCAAUAAGAUUCUGAAUGAGAUGGCGGAGUGCCCAGCAUUCUUCUGUGUUGUGACCGCGAGAAUGUGAAUGAUAUUGACACAUUUCAUCAGGAUUGAACCGCCCUAAGCGGGGAUUGAUUGGAGGUAUAAGGAAUGUGAUACUUCCUUCAUUGAUCAAUAUUUGAAGUAUCUCCUCCAUAGAUUGGUCCAAAUAGGUGAAUUCCCUUUUAUUGGUGAAAUCCUGACGGGCUUUAGCACUUGCUCGCUUUGCAACCUUAUCCUCUAUAGCUUCACUUUCUGAAGGUGUUGAUGAAGCAUUCAUAACAAAUGGAAAGAGAUAGGCGUGCUCCUGCCUGAUUAAUUGGCAUGUGACUUGAUGAUGGUGGGUCACCAGUUCUGCCAAUUGCUCAAUUUGUUGCAAAUAGCUUUCAUUUUUCGUUCCAUGGUAAACUGGAACUUUGCAUAAUCCCAUUUGUCAACACCAUCUUUGUGUUGAGGAAGAGGGUUGUCUUGAACGUGAGGUUGAUCGGGUUUAGUGACCACGAUCUCACCAUUGUCUAUUAGAUCUUGAAUCUUAUGCUUCAAGGCCUAACAAUCUUGAGUAUCAUGUCCGGGUGCCCCGUCAUGGUAAGCACACUUCUGAGUAGCAUUAAAACCCUUCCCAUUAGGGUUGGUUGGUGGAAGAAGAUGUGUAAUUUUCCUCUGAGCAAUCAGAAGAGCAAGAAUAUUCUUGAGCGAGUCCCCUAAAGGUGUUAACGUUCAUGGCCGCUUCACUUCUCUACUUUUAGGUAAUGGAGGGUUUGAAGAUUGUGCUGGAAAAGGGGAGUAUUUUCUCCUCUGCAUAGGCAUGCUUGGAUUGCCUUUUUGUCCUUGUAGUAUCAAGGAAACAUCCUCCUCUUUCUUUUCAUGGACCCUCCGGGGGUUGUUUCCAUAAGAUCCGGACUGGAUGUGCUCAGCAACAGCUUUAAGAGCGGCUAGGUCUUGAAUCUUACCGGACUUCAAUCCCAUUUCAGCCAUCUCGCUAUGUUUGAUAAUUUAAGAAAAUGGCUUGCCAAUACCAGCUAGAACUCUUUCAUAGAAAGGGGCUUCCUGUAUAUCUAUGAAAGUCACGACCAUUUCUGAUUCUGUCAUGGAAGGAAUAACUUGAGCAGCAAGGCGCCUCCACCUUUGAGCAUACUCUCUGAAUGACUCAUUAGACUAUUUCUUGACUUUGGUAAUUUGGUACCGGUCAGGAGCCAUCUGAGAUUGAAAACUGUAUUGAGUGAGGAAGGCGUGGGCCAACUCUUCCCAAUGAUGGAUCUUAGAGUUGUCUAAUCUGGUAUACCAUGAACGGGCUUCUCCAGUCAGACUUUUCUGAAGCAGCUGCAUUCUGAGCUUUUCAUUCUCAGCAUAAGAUCUGAGUUCUCCAAUGAACACUUUUAAAUGUGUAUAAAGAUCGCCUAAUCCGUCAUACUUUUCAAAAUUAGGGGCUUUAAAUUUCUCCGGAUAAUGAACACCAGGGAAUAUGCAAAGGUCUGUAUAUGAAACACUGCCAUGAGUUCUAAUCCCUUUGAGAACACGAAUGGUUUCCUCCAUUUGAAGGACUUUCUUCCUGAUGUCACCGUUGUCUGGAUCUCCUUGGAGAUGGGUGCCUUCAGUGUCUUUAUUGGUUAUAUCCAACUGAUGUUCUAGAAUUAUUUUUUCCAGACCUUGAACUCCAUGUGUAAAGGGUUCUAUAUGUGUAGGUAUCUUCAUACCCUAAGUAGACUGGUGUAAUUCUUUCAGUAAAAUAGCCAAGUUUGUGAUUUAUUUACUCAAUCCGUCAAAUUCUUCUCGGGAAACAGGAUUAAACUAUUCGAAAGAAGACAUGAUUGGCUGUAGGCUUGUGGCCUUUUUGGAUUUUGAGCGGGUAACAGGCCCAAUUGCUUCCCUACAAAAGACUUACGUAGUUUAGUCUUAGGGUAAUGUAAAUGUUAUCAUAACAUGUCUGUUUUAGGAAUUUGUCCUGCAAAACUGGUUUAUUAAUUGAUAACAUGUCAUGCACAGAUAUUCUUCAUAUUUUCCAUUAUAUAUGGAUGAACAUGGAAUAAAAUUACAAGUAAUUAAAAAUGGAAAGAAUGAAGAGACUUUCCUCCGCGUUUGGUUUAUUAGAUGUUGACCUAUCUUAGGGUUACUCUCGUGGCUUUUCGGCAUAAAGGUUCCCAGAUCAUCGCAAUCUACUCGACGGGAAGUUAAUCCGGUCUUUCAACUGGAGCGAAUCUGAGUGGUGCCUUUCCUGAGCCCCGGGGAAUUAUUCUUCCCACGGGUCCAGUAAUCAAACACCGACAGGAUAGCCUCCUGGUGGAGGGACCACACAACAUACAUUCACAUACAACGUGUCUCACCGUUUAUGCAAAAUGAUGAUAUGUGCGAAGCACUAAUAUAACAGAUAGAUAUUUAGCAGUGCAAUAACUAAGAUGCAUUCGUACACAUUCAUCAAAAAUGUAAAUGCAACAAUCACACACAAGCAUAUAACAAUUUUGAAAAGCUUGUAAUAGCGGCUUAAGCCCUCUUAUUGGAGUCCCCAGUAGAGACGCCACCUGUCGACGUCGGGAUUUUUGGUGUCCCUUUUCGUUACUUGUUCUUUGGUGUUCUCAUGUUAAUAUGAGAUUUGUUUGAAAAAAGAAGUAAAAAAGGUCCGACAUGUAUAAUGUCGACGAUUGACUUUAAGAGUCGCCAGUUGGUGUAUUUAACUGGUUGCACCAACGCAACCGAAAAGGUUAGCACAUUGACCCAGUGAUUUGACACUGCUAAACAGGUCUGUGAAACUGAGAUUCAUUAAGGGUUCAGGGGCUUGAUUAUGCGGAGGGAAGGUGUUAGGCACCCCCCGACAUCCGUGUUACCACGGUGACCACCACUCUUCAAAGAAAUUGUUAUAUGAAUGUGUGUGUGUGUGUGUGUGUGUGGAUCAAUGUGCAAUUAUUUGAAAGUAGUGCGAGGCCUCGUUCGCACCUAUAUACACAAGGUUUGAAUUUUAUAGAAAAAUUCAGUUUUAACCAAGAUAUAGCAAUGAAGUUUUAUAAAAGAGGUUUUUCAAACCCUGUGCUCAAUAGGAAUUGAGACCUUUUCAUACUUCCAUUUUAUUAAAUGUUCGGCUUGUUUGCUUUUAUUUUCGAGAUGCGAAGCAUCCUCGAGAAAAUAAUAUACAGCAGUGCCGAACUCCUUAUGGGCAUGACAGCCAUCCAAGGAAACUCAGACACUGUAAAAUAAUGUACAAGCUGCUUACAGCUAAAAAUGUCCAUCAUGGGAACUGAAUCUAGAUUCAGUAGACUGAACCUGUGAUCACAUGAUUCCUCGCCUUUUUCCUUCUCUCUCUCUCUCAAAUGGCUGACCACAAGGCUUGUAUAUAUAGAUGGAUGGCCGCAGGUACAUCUGCGGCAGCCGCAGUUGUACCUGCGGUUGGUCGUGGUGGAUCUGAGCCUCGCAGGUCCCGUCGUCUCGUAGUACGUGAACUCGUGCACUGUAAUGUUUGCUCGAACUUGCAGAACUUCAAUCCGAGCAUCCGAACGAAGUAUAUCUGUACUUCUUCGGAUCGCUUGUGUCGAGAGUUACGUAAUGACAUGGAUUAGAGGUUGUACGAAGUCAGGAAGAGGGGUAUAUGCCCAUGGUCUUCAAGCUUCAAAUUCUAACCAAAGUACUGCCACACAUAAUAGUCACUCGAGAUUGUCAAUAUUCGGCUCUUGUGGGACAUUGUUGUAUGUAUGUAUGUAUGAAGUGUUGAGACGACGUGCCAUUUGUCGAAGGAACAAGAUGAUGUGUGACUCCUUGUCGGGGUUAUCGUCGGUUUGAGUUAAAAGUAGACGUUGCUCAGGGUUACAGCUGAGAUUGGACCACUUGUUGGUAUGCUGUGAUAUCAUCUUGCUGAGACAGUAAGAUGACGUGUUGACUCCUCACCGGGGUUAUUGCCGGUUUAAGCGGAAAGCAGACGUUGCUCAGGGUUACAACUGAGAUUGGACUGCUUGUUUGUAUGCCUCACUAUCAUCUGGAUUGAAGCUAAUUGCAUGUGUUUGCAAUAAGCAUUUCCUGGGUUAUCGCCGAAACUGCAAUGGCAUCCCUUGGGGUUAUCACCAAGGAUGGGGUUGCUACUCUUAGUGUUGUCUCUGGGACUAGAACUGAACGUCGCGGUGUUAUCGCCGAGAUAGGACUGUCCUCUUCGGAGUUGUUGCCGUUCUUUUGAUCUGCAUAUCUCGGGGUUAUCUCCGAGAUUGGAAAUAACACUCCUGGUGUGUGUUCCGGAUUUGAGAUGAUGUUCCCGGUUUGUGUUCCGGGUUGAAGCUGAACUUCCAGUAGUAUCCGGCAUGGGUGUAAGUUGUCUUUCAGGGUUAUCUCCAAAAGACAAAUCUACCCUCCUGCAAUGUUAGGAAUAGGAGUGCAAAAAAUUUUGAGUGUCUAUAGUUACUAUUCACCCAGUUACUAUUCACUCUAGUAUUAUUCACUCGGGUAUAAUUCGGGGCACUUUUCGUGCCGAAGUACUAUUUAUGAGUUACUAUUCACUCUAGUAUCAUUUACUCGGGUAUUUGAGGCACUUUUCGUGUCGGGGUACUAUUCACGGGGUACUGUUCCCGAAGUACUAUUCACGGGGUACUAUUCACCCAAAAAAUAUAUUUCUUUUCUGUCCAAAUUAUUUUUGGUACAUGAAUAUUAUACUUGAAUUUUACUCCACAAAGCAGUAUCAUGUUGACAAUUUGGAAGUUAUUAAUUUCUGGAUAAAUUAAAUUAUAAAUCUUUAAAAUUUAUCCUUGAACUUUUUUAUUGAAUUAUUAUGUCAUUGUCAUCAUCCUCAUGCUUAUAUUGUGAUGAAAGUCAUCUUUGGCUUACGUGCAUAGAUGGACUUGGUAUGAUUAUGACCAGGGAUUAUUCGGUAUAAUCAUGACCGUAAUGUGACGAUUGAAGUGGUGAAAGUCCUUAGUGGCCUGUAGUGCAUUGAUGGACAGUUUUUGGUAUGAUUAUGACUAGGGAUUAUUCGGUAUAAUCAUGACCAUUAAUGAUGAUUUAAUGAAUAUCCUUGGCCCGUAGUGCAGGGAAGAAUUGAUGAUAUGGUUUAUUUAUUAAGUUGAGUCUCAGCGGUAAAGUUGAUGAAAAACUUUUUAAAUCAUAGAAGAUAGUAGAUUUUAUGGUCUACUUGACUCUUCUAAGGGAUUGCUUAUUUCCGCUGUAGUUGUUGAUCUAAAACUUGUUGUCUAUUGUAUUCUAUCAGUUGUUAUGCUGUUGAAGGCUAAGGAUAAUUUAUUCUGCAUUAUCUUAGUCAUAAUAUUUCUUACUGGGCUAGUUGAGCUCACCCUUUGCUUUCAUUGUUCUCUUCAGGAAAUGAGAAUAUAGCUG
RNAcentral lists this long non-coding RNA (12758 nucleotides) under Panax ginseng (ginseng). Its description in RNAcentral is "long non-coding RNA (PGIN_LNC005030)". The record is from RNAcentral. Lineage: Eukaryota; Viridiplantae; Streptophyta; Magnoliopsida; Apiales; Araliaceae.